AUUGAACGCUGGCGGCAUGCCUUACACAUGCAAGUCGAACGGCAGCACGGGUGCUUGCACCUGGUGGCGAGUGGCGAACGGGUGAGUAAUACAUCGGAACGUACCUUAUCGUGGGGGAUAACGCAGCGAAAGUUGCGCUAAUACCGCAUACGCCCUGAGGGGGAAAGCGGGGGACCGUAAGGCCUCGCGCGAUUGGAGCGGCCGAUGUCUGAUUAGCUUGUUGGUGAGGUAAAAGCUCACCAAGGCGAUGAUCAGUGGCUGGUCUGAGAGGACGAUCAGCCACACUGGGACUGAGACACGGCCCAGACUCCUACGGGAGGCAGCAGUGGGGAAUUUUGGACAAUGGGGGCAACCCUGAUCCAGCAAUGCCGCGUGAGUGAAGAAGGCCUUCGGGUUGUAAAGCUCUUUUGUCAGGGAAGAAACAGCAGCUCUAACACAGUCUGCGAAUGACGGUACCUGAAGAAUAAGCACCGGCUAACUACGUGCCAGCAGCCGCGGUAA
RNAcentral lists this ribosomal RNA (501 nucleotides) under uncultured bacterium. RNAcentral describes it as "partial 16S ribosomal RNA". It matches the Rfam family "Bacterial small subunit ribosomal RNA", at positions 30 to 523 of the family's 1533-position model. The record is from RNAcentral.